UGGGCGUAAGCGCGCGCAGGCGGUUUCUUAAGUCUGAUGUGAAAGCCCACGCCUCAACCGUGGAGGGUCAUUGGAAACUGGGGAACUUGAGUGCCUAAGAGAAAAGCGGAAUUCCACGUGUAGCGGUGAAAUGCGUAGAGAUGUGGAGGAACACCAGUGGCGAAGGCGUCCUUUUGGUGUGUAACUGACGCUGAGGCGCGAAAGCGUGGGGAGCAAACAGGAUUAUAUACCCUGGUACUCCCCG
This 244-nucleotide ribosomal RNA is filed under the name Priestia flexa. Its description in RNAcentral is "Bacillus flexus partial 16S ribosomal RNA". It matches the Rfam family "Bacterial small subunit ribosomal RNA", at positions 555 to 799 of the family's 1533-position model. The record is from RNAcentral. Lineage: Bacteria; Bacillati; Bacillota; Bacilli; Caryophanales; Bacillaceae.